This 79-nucleotide small RNA is filed under the name Flavobacterium cutihirudinis. RNAcentral describes it as "Flavo-1 RNA". It matches the Rfam family "Flavo-1 RNA". Lineage: Bacteria; Pseudomonadati; Bacteroidota; Flavobacteriia; Flavobacteriales; Flavobacteriaceae. The record is from RNAcentral.
AUCUAGCCCCGAUAGAGCCGGUAUCCUUUUUGUCCCGCCACUGCGGGACAAAAAGAUAUAGGCGAAAGCGGGACAACUG